GGAAACUCCUUUGUCAGCCACAACAGCACAAGAAUUAGAAACUGAAGAAGAAGGUGAAGUUAAAUAAUCAGUAUUUUCAUGUCUAAGUAGCUCAGCUAACAAAAGAACAAGAGAAGACAUUUGAUAAUAAAAAAAAAAUUCUAAUGAAAGAUGUUUUCAAGAUUUUUCCUUUGUUUGAUACAAUGAAUUCAAAGCACACAAAUUCCUAAUUUAUAAGCAACCAAAAGUAGGUGAAUAGUAGUAUUAAAAGCUGGCUUGACUUAAAUACUGUGUGAUAUUUAUUUAAUAUAAGAAAACAAGGGGCAAACAAAAGCAGUUGGUUCAGGAAAUAUGUGGUGAAUCCUGGAGAUUUCGAUUUAGUUCAUGUUUAUACUCCGUUCAUAUUUAUAUGUCAUCCUUAUUAAACAUAGACACUUCUCAAUAUUUGUCAUUUCACAAAAAUAAGGUAUAAAUGACACUAUUUUAUAUAUAUAUAUAUAUAUAUAUAUAUAUAGAUAUAUAGAGGAUAGUGCUAAAUGGCCAGAAAAUUUGGCCAGCCAGAAAUUUAAAAAAUCUAUAAUAUCUUUUUUAUUUAAAAUAAACUAAUCUUUUUUCAUUUUUAAAUUAAAAGAUAUUAAAGUUAAAAAGGUAAAAUACCAUUCUAGCCAAAAAAAUUGGCCAAAAGGAUUUUUCUAUAUAUAUAUAUAUUUGACUAACAUAGAAUAACUAAGUAAAUAGUUCAUGUGUAUUGGUCAGAAUAAUUAAUCAAAAUAAACUAAAUCAUAUUCAUUGAUUGAAAACUUGACUUUACGAGAACACUUAAUAAGGAUACAAUGAUAAAAUUACUUAAUUUCUUAGAAACGUGAAAUCUAAAAUAGUGACAACUAAAAAAAACCAACGUCAUAUGAAUAUCUUACUUAAUUAAUAAAUUUGAGAAAAUCUUAAUAGUUUAGUUGAUUGACUAUUUGAACACUCACCACCUUAUUGAUCCAUACUAUAAUCCCCUCCUCUAUUUUCCCAUUCCCUCCCCCAAUUUAAAUAAUAAUAAUAAUAAAUUUAUUUUAACUUUAUAAUUUUUUUUUAUGUAUAAUAACAUAAAUAUAAAAUUAGAAUAAAUAUAUUGGGUUAGACAGCACAAGUUACCGACGCGGCCCCUAGCUAUUUGUUCCUGUUGUUUUGUAGUGUAUUCUUGUUUUUGUCAAUAGUUUCGUCUUUUUGUGACUCUGCCUUUCAUUUAUAGAGGGCUCAGCCACCGCUACCUGUUUUCUCAAAAGUACUACGCUAAAAACCACGGCCUUUUGCGGUGCGAUUCUUUGUUAUUUUUAUUAAUAUAUUUCAUUAUAAAUACAUAAAUACACACGUAAUUUCAAUCUUAGAUGGUUAAGUGUCUAAAUAUAUACUGUUAAAAUUAGCGUGUUUAUUUAUUACAUAGCUGAGAUCAAGUUUAAGGGUGUCUUUUUUUUUUCCAAUUCCAUUUUCUUCGGUCAAUUCGCGGGGUUAGAUAUCGUUUUUGACUCAAUUAAGCUUAAUUGGGGUUCAAAAAAAGUAAGCUUUACUUUGGGUUUAUUUGUGGAAUAUAUUUUAGUAAAUUCUAGCCGUAUAAAAGUUUUUACGUCAUAUAUAUAAAUAUAAAAAUAAUAAUAUAUCUUUUUAGUUAAUACCCUUUGCAGAUAGUCGUUAGAUUCGAGCUCUGAGUAUAAUUUUUUUUUUUUUUAGGAAGUGUUACUCCCAAAUGGAUAGCAUGAAUAAUAAAAUAAAUAACCCUAGUUGUCAACUCUUUUGUCUUGAAUCUUUGAACUCCCAAAUCUUUGAAGUAUUCUCUAUUGAAUAAAUAACUCACUCAACAGUUCACGUAGGAACCUCAAAAAGUGAGAUAGUUUAAAUGUGUUUUUAAUCCUUAACUUUAAUGUAAUUGAAAUCUCAAAGGACAAAGAAAACUUAAUUAUUAUGAUGAAAUAUUACUCUAUUAUAGAAAACGGUUAUUCUAGAAAGAAUGAAAACUUUUCUCAAUUCAAGAAAAUAUAAAAGUUUGUAAAGAUUAGUAUGAUUGCAAAUAAACUACAACUUUGUUAAUAAAAUAUCUGAAGUUUAAAUUGAAUAACAACCAGAGAGAAAGUUGAGAUGAAGCAAUUCCUCUCGUGUAUCUUACGUAAGUUUCAAGUGGCUGUGGACUUCCCCAUUGACCUAGUGAGUAUUUUCACCAGAUAGACACUUUUGUGUCCUCACAAAUUAAACCAACCAUAUGAAGGGACCAAACUUGGCUGGGCCUAACAAUCCUAACCACUAUUUUAAGGUUUGAUACAUUUCUCGUUAUGAAAGUGACUCAUAUAUAUUCAUAAUGUUAUACAAAUGGAUCACAUACAUCCUUUUCUUUUUACGGAAGUGAAAAAAAUAAUGUUAAUUUAAUUUUUUAAUUAUUUUUUUGGAAAAAAAUAUAAUUCAUAUGGGGUAUAUUUGAUCCUCCUCAUGCGUAUUUUUUUUUUUUUUUGUUUUAAUAACUAAUUUAAAUUUAUUAUUUUGAUGGUCAAAGUUGUAUGUUUCACUAAUUUUCUUGUAAAAAUUUUCACAGAUGCCCCAUUUUUUUUAGGGAAAAUUAUAUAAAAUAGCAAACUAUUAAUUCAAAUUAAAUGUUAUAACCACAGUCCACAGUUUCAUUUAAUUCGAAUUCAUACCAAACACUUUGUCAUUCGCCUCUCUCCCCAGAAAUCUCGCUCACCACUCUCCCUGAUCUCGCUCGCAUCUCUCACUUUAUACAAACACAAAUGUAUAAAUUGUGUUUGAAUAAAGCGAGAGAAAACUGUAUAUACAAAUACAAAUACAUAUACAUAUAUUUUUGUCGUAUACACUUAUAAUUAUACAAUAUAAAUCUUCCCCUGCCCAGUUUUCUUUUGACUUUCUCUCUUUCUCGUUUUAUACAAACAAAAAUUAUACAAAAUACAAUGUAUAAUUUGUGUUUGUAUAAAGCGAGAGAGCAACCCGAUUCAAUUGUAUACGAAUUCAAAUUUUAUGCAAAUAUACAAACGCAAUUUUCAUAGACACAGAAACCCGAUUUAUACAAAUUUCUGCGAUUUAUACAAAUCAGAUGCCUGCGAUUUUAUACAAAUCAAAGUUGCCUGCGAUUUUUAUACAGAUCUGAUGCUCUAUAGCAAACUAUGUUUGCUAUGGAGCACAAAUAGCAAAAUUGUAGCUAUAGAGCGCUAAUAUGAUUUUUAUAUUUGCUAAACCUAAAAUUUACUCUUUUUUAAUUUUAUUUUUACAAAUACAAAAAAGAAAUUACAAUAUAGCCACAAAAAAAAUUAAUUUUAAAUUUUUUCUUUACACUAAAGAAUGAAAGAAACUCAAAUAAUUAUAAUUAAAGAAGUCAAUAAAUAAUUUUUGUAUGAAAAUGAUUAAAAUACACCUUAAACUUUGCUAGAGGAUCAUAUAUAUGACCCUAUAUGAUUUUUUCUAAAAUUAAAGUCAAAAAAAUAAAUUUAAAACUAAUUUUUUCACUUUCAUUAGAUGAAGGGUAUAUGUGAACUCCUAUUGUAACGGUAAGAGUAUAUGUGAGUCAUUUGUAUAACGAUAAGGGUAUAUAUGAGUCACUUUCAUAAUGAGAAGUAUAUCAGAUCUAAAUGACAAAGUUAAGAAGUAUAUCAGACCAUUUUCCCUAUUUUAUUUACUAUACUAUGAGAGGGAGUUUCAAAGUGCUCAUCAACAGGCCAACAUGACAUGCCUGCUUGAGCACUUUGAGGGUGUUCCUAUAAUUUUUUGGUAAUUCAUUCGUUUUAACUAGUUUGUUUUAUUUUUUAGAUUAUAUAUAUUUAAAAAUUGUGUAAAACAUAAUACUUAUAAAUCAUAAUAAUUGACAAUUUAAAUUUUUUGAAAAAAAUAUUUUUUAAAAAUCGACUGAUUUUUGAAAUUAAUAUAUUGUUGAAUUGUGUAAAGAAAUAUGGUAAUUGACAACUUAAAAUAUUUUUAAAAAGAUAUGUAAAAAAUUCAACCGAUUCUUCAAUUAAUCUAUCGGUGAUACAUAAAAUAGGACAAAAAGAAGUAACAUGUACAGUAUUAUUUAAUUUGAAAACUAUGUAAAAAGUAUUAUAAAUCUCAAUAAUUAACAACAAUUGAUUGGGUCUUUAAAUUCUAUCUAUGCUACACACAUUGGGACAAAGGCAAUAACAUAUACUCCUUUCGUCCCAUUUUAUGUGAGGUAGUUUGACUCAGCACGGAGUUUAAGAAAGAAAGAAAGACUUUUAAAAUUUGUGGUCCAAAAUGAAUGAUAGAAAUUUGUGUGGCUGUAAAUCAUUUUCAUUAAGUGUAAAUAGACAUUUUAUAGUUAAAUUGUUACUUAAUAUAUAAAUGUGUCAUUCUUUUUGGGACUAAUGAAAAUCUAAAAAUGAAAGUAAGUCACAUAAAUUGGGAUAGAGAGAGUAUUAUUUAACAAUUACGUAAAAUGUACUAUAACUCACCAUAAUUAAUAACUUAAAAUAUUUAAAAAUUAUACUAAAAUUUAAUUGACUCUCUAAAUUGAGAUAAAAAGUAAUAGAUAUUAAGCAUGUAUCUGGUAUAUUAUUGAAGAUUUAGUCUUGGCAAGCUUGAUUUUAGACGUGUAUAGCAGAAAUUUGAUUUGAGAAAGUAAAAUUUCUAACGCAUAAUUUGAUGAAUGGCUAAACUUACAUAAAUUUAUAAAAAUAAUCCGUGGAUUAAAUAAGGCCCCAAAAUCAGUGAUCUAUGACCAUGCACCCCUUUCGAUCUUCUUCUUCGUUCUUUAGUUAUAUACUUAGGAGAAAAUGGUCAAAUGACCCCUCAACGUAUAUUCGAAUUUUUAACUAUACACUUAAACUUCACGAGAAUUCUAUCACCCCUCUGUACUAUUUAAAAUUGAAAUUAUUACCUCCCUGAAUGUUUAGUUGGCAUAGUGAAUGUAUUUCACUCUCUUUGGGAGAGUGAGUAUCAAAUCUAUUAUUAAAACCUUAAUUUUAAUAUCUCUUUUCAAUAAAUAUAUAUGCAUUUUUAAUUAUUUAUUUUUCUUAUUUGUUUUCUUUCUUCUCCAACAAUAUAAACAAAUCUCUCAAUCUUUCACCAUCUCUAAGUCGUGCUGCCCAUCUUCACCAGAUUCACUAUUAUUGAUUCCAAACAAAUUUUCAAACUCAUAAAACUCUUGCAAAAUCAAUCAACCUAAAUCAAUUGUAGAUAAGUUUACAUAUAUUUAUAUCACCCCAAGAUACUUUAGAUUCGAUUUGAGAAAAAUCAAUAUGGGUUUACUUCAAACCCAAUUGAACCCACCGAAUUUUAUUUUAUUUUUACUAAUAGAUCAUUUAAUUAUCAAUCUCAAAUCUCAAUCAAUCAAUUAUAUCUCAAAAAUUAUCGCUAUUAAUCUCGUUAAUUCAUCAACCGUCGUAGAAUCAAUCUCUUCCUCUUCGAAAUUGUUGUCGCAAUCGAUGAUGACGUGGAAGACAUUGUAGGCUCCUCCUCCUCAUCUUCCUUGAGAGGAUUACUUAUCUUUGGUGACCACCAUUAAUGGCAAUAUUUUGCCAUGUUCGUCUUCUCUCCUGCCUUCACUUUUUUUUAAAUUUGAUUUUUAGGUUUCAAAUGAGCAAAACCAGUAUAUCUCUGGAUAAGCUCUGAAAUCAUUAUUCAACUUUUUUCCUUAAAGACCCAAUUUUAUGGACUUAUGGUGUUCUAGUAAUGUUGAAAAUGGUGGAAGUACUUUAGGUGUUUGAAGGGAUGGGUCAGAAUAUAGAAGAAAAGGGUAAAUAAAUAUAAAAAAUAAAAAAUAUAUAUUUGAUGAGGUGUCAAACAUGCCACCAUAGAUCUGGUUAUAUCCUUUUAAGGGUAUAAUUAAUUCAUCUUUAAACAGUUCAGGGGUGAUAGGACUCCCGUGAAGUUUAACUGUAUAGUUGGAAAUUCGGAUAUAUGUUGAGGGGGCAUUCGGCCAUUUUCUCAAGAAAAAAACAAUAACUUGUGAUUCUAAAUACUCCAAUAAGAUUCCCUGACUAGAAAAAUAUCUCAUUUAAUUUGAUGUACAAUUAAAAAAUCAAAAUUAAAUUUUUUUUAACAUAAUUUUUUUUUUUCAUGUUUUACGGGAAAAAAAAGCAACAUUAUAUCAUAGAAAAUGAAACAAAUGGAAUAGUGCUUAUGAAAACAAAUGGAAUGAGAAAAACAGUAAAGAAAUAAGAUUUAUUUCGAGGAGAAAGAUACGAUGGUGACAUAUAUAAUAAAAAAAAUUAGUGAAUAAUUACAAUACAAUACUCUCAAGUCUUAAGGCCAAACAAAAUCAACACAAAUUUUGGGAAGUUCUUCAAAAUCCUCAGCUAAAUUGAAGUCAGUGUUGAAAUUAGUUGAGGAAUUGUUGAAUACCCUUUGGUUGGAAACUCCUUUGGCAGCCACAACAGCACAAGAAUCAGCAACUGAAGAAGAAGGUGAAGUCAAAUAAUCAGUAUUUUCAUGUCUAAGAAACUCAGCUAACAAAAGAACGAGAGAAGCCAUUUGAUAAAAAAAAAAAUCUAAUGAGAGAGGUUUUCAAGAUUUUUCCUUUGUUUGAUACAAUGAAUUCAAGGCACACAAAUUUUUCCUAAUUUAUAAGCAAUCAAAAGUAGGUGAAUAGUAGUAGUAUUAAAAGCCGGUUUGGCUUAGAUACUAUACUCUGUG
RNAcentral lists this long non-coding RNA (6609 nucleotides) under Solanum tuberosum (potato). Its description in RNAcentral is "long non-coding RNA (STUB_LNC003020)". The record is from RNAcentral. Lineage: Eukaryota; Viridiplantae; Streptophyta; Magnoliopsida; Solanales; Solanaceae.